UUUGGGGUCUGGGAACCAGAGCUCUAAAUGAACCGCAUUUGUUUUCUGAGCCCCGACUGGCUUGAAGUAUCCCCCUCUUCCCAAUCUUUACCUUCAGCCCACUGCUCAGUGUUAACAUGGAGAGAAAGGGAUGUUUAAGAUGUCAUUUUCCCCUCAGCGCAAAUGCCCUUUUAAGAUUCAUUAGCUGUCUGGUUUUGAGAAUUUUUAUGCCUUUGAAGUCCCCAUCUAAAUCCUUUGAAGGGAUUUGUUACACAGACCAAAGGAGCUGGUUAAUGACUUGUCCAUUUGUGCUUUUAAGAGGCAAUAUAAACAUCACUAUUCAAUCUUGAAGGUUCAGAAGCCAGAUCUACA
This 351-nucleotide long non-coding RNA is filed under the name Bos taurus (domestic cattle). RNAcentral's name for it is "long non-coding RNA NONBTAT007335". The record is from RNAcentral. Lineage: Eukaryota; Metazoa; Chordata; Mammalia; Artiodactyla; Bovidae.